GUUACCAGUAUCUUCUCGCCCUCCUAUUCGAAUUGUUUAUACUCGUCGUGUGCAGCAAUCCCCGGUGGCACCCAUUACUGACCAUGACUUGCCACCUCUACCUAUUGCUUCGCCUCAGGAUUUGUCGCCUUCUCAUGAUCCUACUCUUGAUCUUCCUAUUGCCAUUCGAAAAGGUAAACGGUCAUGUACUUAUCCUGUCUCUUCUUUUGUUUCUUACCAUGCAUUGUCCCCAUCUUCUAGGUCCUUCAUUGCUUCUUUAGAUCAUGCGUCUGUACCAAAAUCUAUCUUUGAGGCUUUGUCCCAUAGUGGUUGGUGAGCGGCCAUGCAAGAAGAAAUGCUGGCAUUGGAACAUAAUCACACAUGGGAAUUGGUUCCUUUACCCCUCAAUGAACAGGCAAUCGGGUGUAAAUGGGUGUUUACAGUCAAGAUGAAUCCCCAUGGAUCCGUUGCUCGAUUGAAAGCUCGUUUGGUUGCUAAGAGGUAUGCUCAAACUUAUGGUGUGGAUUACUCUGAGACUUUCUCUCAUGUUGCUAAACUAGCUUCUGUUCGGUUGUUCAUUUCUCUUGCGGCUACCUAUCAUUGGCCGCUUCAUUAGUUGGAUGUCAAAAAUACUUUUCUCCAUGGUGAUUUGCAUGAGGAAGUUUACAUAGAGCAACCACCAGGGUUUGUUGCUCAGGGGGAGUUAGGGAAGGUAUGCAAACUACAAAAGUCAUUAUAUGGUCUGAAACAAUCACCUCGUGCCUGGUUUGGGAGAUUUAGUGAGGUUGUGACCGAAUUUAGCUUGAAAAGAAGUGCAUAUGAUCACUCAGUAUUCUUUAAACAGUCUACAGUUGGAUGUAUCUUGUUAGUGGUAUAUGUUGAUGACAUUGUGAUUACUGGUAAUGAUAGCAGUGGCAUAAGUAAGUUGAAGGCUUUACUAGGCACAAGGUUUCAGACAAAGGA
RNAcentral lists this long non-coding RNA (942 nucleotides) under Olea europaea subsp. europaea. Lineage: Eukaryota; Viridiplantae; Streptophyta; Magnoliopsida; Lamiales; Oleaceae. The record is from RNAcentral.